UGAGGAAUAUUGGUCAAUGGGCGAGAGCCUGAACCAGCCAAGUAGCGUGCAGGAUGACGGCCCUAUGGGUUGUAAACUGCUUUUAUGUGGGGAUAAAGUGCGUGACGUGUCAUGCAUUGCAGGUACCACAUGAAUAAGGACCGGCUGAUUCCGUGCCAGCAGCCGCGGUAAUACGGAAGGUCCGGGCGUUAUCCGGAUUUAUUGGGUUUAAAGGGAGCGUAGGCUGUCUAUUAAGCGUGUUGUGAAAUUUACCGGCUCAACCGGUGGCUUGCAGCGCGAACUGGUCGACUUGAGUAUGCAGGAAGUAGGCGGAAUUCAUGGUGUAGCGGUGAAAUGCUUAGAUAUCAUGACGAACUCCGAUUGCGCAGGCAGCUUACUGUAGCAUAACUGACGCUGAUGCUCGAAAGUGCGGGUAUCAAACAGG
Molecule: ribosomal RNA, 424 nt
Filed under: Fusobacteriota bacterium
Lineage: Bacteria; Fusobacteriati; Fusobacteriota
Description: Fusobacteria bacterium partial 16S ribosomal RNA
Rfam family: Bacterial small subunit ribosomal RNA
Source: RNAcentral